GAACGGUAGAGGGGGCAACCCCUCGAGAGUGGCGAACGGGUGAGUAAUAUAUCGGAACGUGCCCAGUCGUGGGGGAUAACGUAGCGAAAGUUACGCUAAUACCGCAUACGAUCUAAGGAUGAAAGCGGGGGACUCGCAAGAGCCUCGCGCGAUUGGAGCGGCCGAUAUCAGAUUAGGUAGUUGGUGGGGUAAAGGCUCACCAAGCCAACGAUCUGUAGCUGGUCUGAGAGGACGACCAGCCACACUGGAACUGAGACACGGUCCAGACUCCUACGGGAGGCAGCAGUGGGGAAUUUUGGACAAUGGACGCAAGUCUGAUCCAGCCAUUCCGCGUGCAGGAUGAAGGCCCUCGGGUUGUAAACUGCUUUUGUACGGAACGAAAAGGUUUCUAUUAAUACUAGGAGCUCAUGACGGUACCGUAAGAAUAAGCACCGGCUAACUACGUGCCAGCAGCCGCGGUAAUACGUAGGGUGCAAGCGUUAAUCGGAAUUACUGGGCGUAAAGCGUGCGCAGGCGGUUAUAUAAGACAGAUGUGAAAUCCCCGGGCUCAACCUGGGAACUGCAUUUGUGACUGUAUAGCUAGAGUACGGUAGAGGGGGAUGGAAUUCCGCGUGUAGCAGUGAAAUGCGUAGAUAUGCGGAGGAACACCGAUGGCGAAGGCAAUCCCCUGGACCUGUACUGACGCUCAUGCACGAAAGCGUGGGGAGCAAACAGGAUUAGAUACCCUGGUAGUCCACGCCCUAAACGAUG
RNAcentral lists this ribosomal RNA (750 nucleotides) under uncultured bacterium. Its description in RNAcentral is "bacterial SSU rRNA". It matches the Rfam family "Bacterial small subunit ribosomal RNA", at positions 64 to 811 of the family's 1533-position model. The record is from RNAcentral.